UAUGUGAUCGUCUCUCGCAUAUCAAUAAGCGGAGGAAAAGAAACUAACAAGGAUUCCCCUAGUAACGGCGAGUGAAGCGGGAAGGGAACUCAAAUUUGAAAUCUUAAAGGGUUUCCCUUUACGAAUUGUAGUUUAAAGAAGUGUUUUCUGUUGAGGUUUUGGUAAAAGUUCUUUGGAAUAGGACAUCAUAGAGGGUGAGAAUCCCGUAUUUGACCUUUACUUUCAACUUUGUGAUACACUUUCAAAGAGUCGGAUUGUUUGGGAAUGCAGUCCAAAAUGGGUGGUAAAUUUCAUCUAAAGCUAAAUAUUGGCGAGAGACCGAUAGCGAACAAGUACCGUGAGGGAAAGAUGAAAAGAACUUUGAAAAGAGAGUUAAACAGUACGUGAAAUUGUCAAAAGGGAAGCGUUUGACACCAGUGUUGUUUUUCUGAAAAUCAAUUAAAGAACUGUUUAUGCUAAGCUGUUUAGACUUUAUCAGCUAAUCUGUUUAGUUUUGAGCUUUUCUUUAAUGCACUUUUCAGUUAACAAGUCAACAUCAAUUUCUUUUGCUGUAAAAAAGCUUGAGGAAGGUGGCUUGAGAUUCGUCUUAAGUGUUUAUAGCCUCUUGCCUAUGCAGUCGGAGAGAUUGAGGUCUGCAGCGUAGAUCCUUCGGGGCUAAAUGCAUUUGUGCUAAGUUAUAGCAUUUUAUAGACAACUUGUUGACUAUGAUUUGUCUUGUAGCUUACUCGCUUAUGUUAUUUUACCUACGCUUAGGAUGUUGAGUAGCGACAUACGCAC
RNAcentral lists this ribosomal RNA (777 nucleotides) under uncultured Neocallimastigales. RNAcentral's name for it is "partial large subunit ribosomal RNA". It matches the Rfam family "Eukaryotic large subunit ribosomal RNA", at positions 24 to 649 of the family's 3401-position model. Lineage: Eukaryota; Fungi; Neocallimastigomycota; Neocallimastigomycetes; Neocallimastigales. The record is from RNAcentral.